RNAcentral lists this transfer RNA (73 nucleotides) under Candidatus Latescibacterota bacterium. RNAcentral's name for it is "Latescibacterota bacterium tRNA". It matches the Rfam family "tRNA". From Rfam's summary of the family: Transfer RNA (tRNA) molecules are approximately 80 nucleotides in length. Their secondary structure includes four short double-helical elements and three loops (D, anti-codon, and T loops). The record is from Rfam by way of RNAcentral. Lineage: Bacteria; Pseudomonadati; Candidatus Latescibacterota.
GGGGCAGUAGCUCAGUUGGGAGAGCACUUGAAUCGCACUCAAGAGGUCGCCAGUUCAAAUCUGGUCUGCUCCA